Oncorhynchus tshawytscha (Chinook salmon) is the source of this 486-nucleotide long non-coding RNA. Lineage: Eukaryota; Metazoa; Chordata; Actinopteri; Salmoniformes; Salmonidae. The record is from Ensembl.
GUAGGAACCAUUUCUGACACCUAUACAUUGUUGUGCCAUUGUUGAUUAGGAUAUACAAACAAUGGUUUGAUAGUUCGCUGCAUCCUCCCUCAGGUGCACGUGCUGAAGAGAUGCAGCAACAACUAGUUGGUGCCAUUGGUGGUCAACACACAUCUUCUCCUGCUGCAGUAUGGUUGUCAUAUGCUUAUUGAGCACGCUGAUAUGUUCGUCUUGUCUCGUCAAGCCUACCUGGGUGUUUUUUCCCGUACUCCUGUUUUCUUUAGUCCCUAUUAUCUAGUUCUUCUGGUUUUGACCAUACUGCCUGCCCUGACCCUGAGCCUGCCUGCCGUUCUGAACCUUCUGACACUGCCCUGGAUUACUGACUGCUCCAUGCCCUGGCCCUGAACCUUCCUGCCAUUCUGUAUUUUACGGACUCUGCUCUGGAUUACUGACCUCUGCCAUCCCUUGACCUGUCGUUUUCCUGCCCCUGUUUCGUAAAUAAACCUC